GGUAACGGGGGGCACGCGGCCGCGGUAAUACAGGUGGGGCAAGCGGUAGUCGGAAUGAUUGGGCGUAGAGGGCGCGUAGGCGGUUUCGUAAGUCGGAUGUGCAAUCCCCGGGCUCAACCCGGGAACUGCAUCCGAGACUGGGAGGCUAGAGUACUGGAGAGGUUGGUGGAAUUCCUCGUGUAGCGGUGAAAUGCGUAGAGAUGAGGAGGAACACCAGUGGCGAAGGCGGCCAACUGGACAGUAACUGACGCUGAGGCGCGAAAGCGUGGGUAGCAAACAGGAUUAGAUACCCUUGUAGUC
Molecule: ribosomal RNA, 300 nt
Filed under: uncultured Bacillus sp.
Lineage: Bacteria; Bacillati; Bacillota; Bacilli; Caryophanales; Bacillaceae
Description: bacterial SSU rRNA
Rfam family: Bacterial small subunit ribosomal RNA
Source: RNAcentral